RNAcentral lists this unclassified non-coding RNA (355 nucleotides) under soil metagenome. RNAcentral's name for it is "partial contains 5.8S ribosomal RNA, internal transcribed spacer 2, and large subunit ribosomal RNA". The stretch from base 1 to 120 matches the Rfam family "5.8S ribosomal RNA", at positions 35 to 154 of the family's 154-position model. The record is from RNAcentral.
GAUGAAGAACGUAGCGAAAUGCGAUAAGUAAUGUGAAUUGCAGAAUUCAGUGAAUCAUCGAAUCUUUGAACGCACAUUGCGCCCAUUAGAAUUCUAGUGGGCAUGCCUGUUCGAGCGUCAUUAAGUCCACUUAAGCCCUGCUUAGUGUUGGGAGACUGCUCCAGCGGUGCUACCCUGUAGCUACCCUGCAGCUCCUCAAAGACAGCGGCGGAGUUGUGGUAUCCUCUGAGCUUAGUAACUUGUUCUAGCUUUCGAGUACACCACUUCCCCUGCCGUAAAACCCUUAAUUUUUAAUGGUUGACCUCGGAUCAGGUAGGAAUACCCGCUGAACUUAAGCAUAUCAAUAAGCGGAGGA